AUUGAACGCUGGCGGCAGGCCUAACACAUGCAAUUCGAGCGGCUGAAGGGAUCUUGCUCCUGGAUUCAGCGGCGGACGGGUGAGUAAUGCCUAGGAAUCUGCCUGGUAGUGGGGGAUAACGUCCGGGAACGGGCGCUAAUACCGCAUACGUCCUGAGGGAGAGAGUGGGGGAUCUUCGGACCUCACGCUAUCAGAUGAGCCUAGGUCGGAUUAGCUAGUUGGUGGGGUAAAGGCCUACCAAGGCGACGAUCCGUAACUGGUCUGAGAGGAUGAUCAGGCACACUGGAACUGAGACACGGUCCAGACUCCUACGGGAGGCAGCAGUGGGGAAUAUUGGACAAUGGGCGAAAGCCUGAUCCAGCCAUGCCGCGUGUGUGAAGAAGGUCUUCGGAUUGUAAAGCACUUUUAGUUGGGAGGAAGAGAAGUAAGUGAAUACCUUGCUGUUUUGACGUUACCAACAGAAUAAGCAACGGCUAACUUCGUG
RNAcentral lists this ribosomal RNA (484 nucleotides) under uncultured bacterium. RNAcentral describes it as "partial 16S ribosomal RNA". It matches the Rfam family "Bacterial small subunit ribosomal RNA", at positions 30 to 507 of the family's 1533-position model. The record is from RNAcentral.